RNAcentral lists this transfer RNA (61 nucleotides) under Heterocephalus glaber (naked mole-rat). It matches the Rfam family "tRNA", at positions 6 to 65 of the family's 71-position model. From Rfam's summary of the family: Transfer RNA (tRNA) molecules are approximately 80 nucleotides in length. Their secondary structure includes four short double-helical elements and three loops (D, anti-codon, and T loops). Further hydrogen bonds mediate the characteristic L-shaped molecular structure. tRNAs have two regions of fundamental functional importance: the anti-codon, which is responsible for specific mRNA codon recognition, and the 3' end, to which the tRNAs corresponding amino acid is attached (by aminoacyl-tRNA synthetases). tRNAs cope with the degeneracy of the genetic code in two manners: having more than one tRNA (with a specific anti-codon) for a particular amino acid; and 'wobble' base-pairing, i.e. permitting non-standard base-pairing at the 3rd anti-codon position. The record is from Rfam by way of RNAcentral. Lineage: Eukaryota; Metazoa; Chordata; Mammalia; Rodentia; Bathyergidae.
UGUAGCUCAGUUACAGAGUGCUUGUCUAGCAUGCAUGAGGCCCUGGGUUCAAUUCCCGGCA